Molecule: ribosomal RNA, 509 nt
Filed under: uncultured bacterium
Lineage: Bacteria
Description: partial 16S ribosomal RNA
Rfam family: Bacterial small subunit ribosomal RNA
Source: RNAcentral
GACGAACGCUGGCGGCGCGCUUAACACAUGCAAGUCGAGCGAGAACCAGCCCUUCGGGGCUGGGGAGAGCGGCGAACGGGUGAGUAACACGUGGGUAAUCAACCCUCGGUACUGGGAUAGCCCGGGGAAACCCGGAUUAAUACCGGAUGGCCCUUCGAAUCCUCGGAUUUGAAGGAAAAGGUAGCUUCGGCCUCCGACCGAGGACGAGCCCGCGGCGGAUUAGCUUGGUGGUGGGGUAACGGCCUACCAAGGCCACGAUCCGUAGCUGGUCUGAGAGGAAGAUCAGCCACACUGGGACUGAGAGACGGCCCAGACUUCUACGGAAGGCAGCAGUGGGGAAUCUUGCGCUAAUGCGGGAAACCGUGACGCAGCGACGCCGCGUGGGGGAAGAAGGCCUUCGGGUUGUAAACCUCUUUCAGGAGGGACGAAGCUACUCGGGUUAAUAGCCCAGAGGGUGACGGUACCUCCAGAAGAAGCCCCGGCUAACUACGUGCCAGCAGCCGCCGUAA